Molecule: ribosomal RNA, 506 nt
Filed under: uncultured bacterium
Lineage: Bacteria
Description: partial 16S ribosomal RNA
Rfam family: Bacterial small subunit ribosomal RNA
Source: RNAcentral
AGUGAACGCUGGCGGUAGGCCUAACACAUGCAAGUCGAACGGCAGCACAGGAGAGCUUGCUCUCUGGGUGGCGAGCGGCGGACGGGUGAGGAAUACAUCGGAAUCUACUUUUUCGUGGGGGAUAACGUAGGGAAACUUACGCUAAUACCGCAUACGACCUACGGGUGAAAGCAGGGGACCUUCGGGCCUUGCGCGAUUGAAUGAGCCGAUGUCGGAUUAGCUAGUUGGCGGGGUAGAGGCCCACCAAGGCGACGAUCCGUAGCUGGGCUGAGAGGAUGAUCAGCCACACUGGAACUGAGACACGGUCCAGACUCCUACGGGAGGCAGCAGUGGGGAAUAUUGGACAAUGGGCGCAAGCCUGAUCCAGCCAUACCGCGUGGGUGAAGAAGGCCUUCGGGUUGUAAAGUCCUUUUGUUGGGAAAGAAAUCCAGCUGGCUAAUACCCGGUUGGGAUGACGGUACCCAAAGAAUAAGCACCGGCUAACUUCGUGCCAGCAGCCGCGGUAA